Molecule: long non-coding RNA, 516 nt
Filed under: Androctonus crassicauda
Lineage: Eukaryota; Metazoa; Arthropoda; Arachnida; Scorpiones; Buthidae
Source: RNAcentral
CUUGGCUUUCCACUCUGGAGGACAGGUUCGAAUCUCGGGUCCCACUCCUUCAAAAUAUUUAUCGGGAUUCGGCCGGCGUCGAUCCCCGUCUCCACAAUCCGGCUGAUUCCUCCGCAGGGGUGAACAGGCUGUGGAAGGGCUCGUUUCGCCCCGCCACUUUCCAUUCACUUUCUGAAUGGAAAGUGGCGUCAUCUGUUGACAAAAAAAAAAAAAAAAAUACAGUGUGUGUUCGAGCAAAUUUGAGACGAUUUUACGUAUAGUUUUUGUUCUUAAGAACGCAAUGAUGAAUUCCGUUUGUGUAUUUGAUACGAUGGCCAUCCUAUGCGCUAACCAUUCUACAUUUUUGCUUCCAUGCUUCAAAAACCGAUCGACAUUUUUCAGGGAUAAUUUUUGCAAACUUUCCAGAGUCCUGGCAGUAUAUGGGUUUUUGUCAAGAAAAGGGUUAGCUUUAAAUAACCAAAGCCGAAGUAAUCGAUUGGCGAGAUGUCUGAGGACUUGGCGGGGAUCAGUUCAUUC